RNAcentral lists this small RNA (745 nucleotides) under Arabidopsis thaliana (thale cress). RNAcentral describes it as "ATSL175960". The record is from RNAcentral. Lineage: Eukaryota; Viridiplantae; Streptophyta; Magnoliopsida; Brassicales; Brassicaceae.
AUUCAUUUCAAAAUUUUUAAAUCAUGGCGUAUACGAAAAAAUAUAUAUUUAUAUUAUAUAGAUGAUGUGAUGAAUUUAUAUGUUUUACGAGGCAAACGCCUUAUGCGCAAGGCGAAUUCAGAGACCAUUUGCGUCUAAUAUCGCCUCUUGCUAUAUCAAAGACAAUUCAGAGACCAUUCAGAGAUCCAUUGCGCUUGUCUACUAUAUCAAAUCAUUGUAUAGUGACUUCUUGUCACUGUUUCUAUGCAUAACAUUCAUUACUUUGAGUGAAUAUUAAAUGGUGAUAAUGACGAGCUCCAUGUGAAUCCCGACAUGGUUGGAACAAAAGAUGGUGGAUGAGAAGAGAGAUUGACUUAAGGAAGAGUUGCAUGAUGUCCACGUCAACAUCGAGCCUAUAAAGAGGAUAAAGAACACAACCACAAUAAUACUACAAAAUGUGAGUCUUUUUUUUCAGAAACUGUAGGACAAUGCUACUUAGGACAAUCUAUUAUGCAUAUGAAAGCUGGAACAUUUUCAAGACUGUCAUAUUUUCUACCGUGAGUGGAGCAGUUGGCAUGAUAAUGUCAAUUCCACCAGUUAUCUACAAAUUCUUACAUAAGCUGGAGCGGUACAUGAGGAAAAAUAUAAGAGGAAAAGGAUGCCCCGACGAGCGGAUUCCACGAGUGUAUGUUGAGUUAUCAACAGUGGCAGAUGCACAAUAUUGGCAAGGGAGAGGGUGAGAUGACCCCCAUAAAUCUUUGAAUUU